AGGUUGUUAGUUUAAUUAAAAACCCUUGAUUUCGACUCAAGAACUUAUGGUUAAAGUCCAUAACCACCUA
RNAcentral lists this transfer RNA (70 nucleotides) under Geophagus steindachneri (redhump eartheater). Its description in RNAcentral is "tRNA-Arg". It matches the Rfam family "tRNA". Rfam says of the family: Transfer RNA (tRNA) molecules are approximately 80 nucleotides in length. Their secondary structure includes four short double-helical elements and three loops (D, anti-codon, and T loops). Further hydrogen bonds mediate the characteristic L-shaped molecular structure. tRNAs have two regions of fundamental functional importance: the anti-codon, which is responsible for specific mRNA codon recognition, and the 3' end, to which the tRNAs corresponding amino acid is attached (by aminoacyl-tRNA synthetases). tRNAs cope with the degeneracy of the genetic code in two manners: having more than one tRNA (with a specific anti-codon) for a particular amino acid; and 'wobble' base-pairing, i.e. permitting non-standard base-pairing at the 3rd anti-codon position. The record is from RNAcentral. Lineage: Eukaryota; Metazoa; Chordata; Actinopteri; Cichliformes; Cichlidae.